GGGGCUAUAGCUCAGUUGGUAGAGUACUUGCUUUGCAUGCAAGAGACUCUGGGUUCAAUCCCCAGCACCA
This is a non-coding RNA of Ictidomys tridecemlineatus (thirteen-lined ground squirrel), 70 nucleotides long. NCBI's taxonomy places the organism in Eukaryota, Metazoa, Chordata, Mammalia, Rodentia, Sciuridae. The record is from Rfam.